UGGGGAAUAUUGGGCAAUGGGGGCAACCCUGACCCAGCAACGCCGCGUGAAGGAAGAAGGCUUUCGGGUUGUAAACUUCUUUUAAGGGGGAAGAGUAGAAGACGGUACCCCUAGAAUAAGCCACGGCUAACUACGUGCCAGCAGCCGCGGUAAUACGUAGGUGGCAAGCGUUGUCCGGAUUUACUGGGUGUAAAGGGCGUGCAGCCGGGAGUGCAAGUCAGAUGUGAAAUGCAUGGGCUCAACCCAUGAACUGCAUUUGAAACUGUGCUUCUUGAGUACUGGAGAGGCAAUCGGAAUUCCUAGUGUAGCGGUGAAAUGCGUAGAUAUUAGGAGGAACACCAGUGGCGAAGGCGGAUUGCUGGACAGCAACUGACGGUGAGGCGCGAAAGUGUGGGGAGCAAACAGG
Molecule: ribosomal RNA, 406 nt
Filed under: uncultured bacterium
Lineage: Bacteria
Description: bacterial SSU rRNA
Rfam family: Bacterial small subunit ribosomal RNA
Source: RNAcentral